ACCGACCGUUGACUGUACCUUG
Molecule: microRNA, 22 nt
Filed under: Mus musculus (house mouse)
Lineage: Eukaryota; Metazoa; Chordata; Mammalia; Rodentia; Muridae
Description: microRNA mmu-miR-181a-2-3p
Source: RNAcentral